This 767-nucleotide ribosomal RNA is filed under the name Dysidea sp. 3 JV-2020. RNAcentral describes it as "partial large subunit ribosomal RNA". It matches the Rfam family "Eukaryotic large subunit ribosomal RNA", at positions 376 to 941 of the family's 3401-position model. Lineage: Eukaryota; Metazoa; Porifera; Demospongiae; Dictyoceratida; Dysideidae. The record is from RNAcentral.
UUGAAAAGAGAGUCAAACAGUACGUGAAACCGUUGGGAGGGAAACGAACGAGGUUGGUGCAGUGAUUGCGCAGGCUCAGGUUCUGCCGAAGGUGCCGUCGGGUGGGCCCACGUGUCCCCAGGCGUACGUCGGAGGCAGAGCCGUACUCCUCGCGAGCACGGACCAGCAGCGGUUGGAGUGGAGCCACAAGGCUGACAGGAAGGUAGGUCGGGUCGGGCUCGCCCGCUCGACAACUUACAGACUGGCUGUCCGGUGCUCCACUCGGACCGAGGAAAGCGGGCAGCUCUUGCCCAGUGUGGUGCACGCCGUAUGGCGGGGCCUCCCGUCGAGGGCAAGUCGUGCGGGGUUGACUGCUUGCAGUGCUCACCGUCACGGCGAACCCACGGUCGGAGAGUGUCACUUGUGCACCAGUGCUGCUGGUAUUCGGACGGCCUCGUCCGACCCGUCUUGAAACACGGACCAAGGAGUGCAACAUGUGCGCGAGCCCUUUGGCGAGCAAACCAGAAGGCGCAAUGAAAGUGAAGGCACGGUCGCCGUGCUGAGGUGAGAGCCGGCCCCGACGGGACGGCGCAUCAUCGACCGAUCCCAUCCGCACUGCUCGCAGUGUGGCGGGAUUCGAGUGAGAGUGUACCUGUUGCGACCCGAAAGAUGGUGAACUAUGCCUGAAUAGGGUGAAGCCAGAGGAAACUCUGGUGGAGGCCCGUAGCGAUUCUGACGUGCAAAUCGAUCGUCAAAUUUGGGUAUAGGGGCGAAAGACUAAUCGAACC